This 482-nucleotide ribosomal RNA is filed under the name Pezizomycotina sp. 6732-R5. Its description in RNAcentral is "eukaryotic LSU rRNA". It matches the Rfam family "Eukaryotic large subunit ribosomal RNA", at positions 88 to 577 of the family's 3401-position model. The record is from RNAcentral. Lineage: Eukaryota; Fungi; Ascomycota.
GGCGAGUGAAGCGGUAACAGCUCAAAUUUGAAAUCUGGCCUCACGGUCCGAGUUGUAAUUUGUAGAGGAUGUUUCGAGCAUGGUCUGGCCUAAGUUCCUUGGAACAGGACGUCAUAGAGGGUGAGAAUCCCGUAUGCGGCCAGGUGCCUACGCUCAUGUGAAGCUCCUUCGACGAGUCGAGUUGUUUGGGAAUGCAGCUCAAAAUGGGUGGUAAAUUUCAUCUAAAGCUAAAUAUUGGCCAGAGACCGAUAGCGCACAAGUAGAGUGAUCGAAAGAUGAAAAGCACUUUGGAAAGAGAGUUAAACAGUACGUGAAAUUGUUGAAAGGGAAGCGCUUGCAACCAGACUUGCGCGCGGCUGAUCAUCCGGUGUUCUCACUGGUGCACUCGGUCGCGCUCAGGCCAGCAUCGGUUUUGGUGGUUGGAUAAAGGUCCUAGGAAUGUGGCUCCUCUCGGGGAGUGUUAUAGCCUAGGGCGCAAUGCA